AAAGACUUGACGGUACUUCACAACAACCUAGAGGAGCCUGUCUAAUAACCGAUACCCCACGAUUAACCCCACCCACCCUAGCCUAACAGUCUAUAUACCGCCGUCGCCAGCCUACCUUGUGAAAGAAAUAAAGUAGACGCAAUAAACUAUCACUUAACACGACAGGUCGAGGUGUAACUAAUGGGUGGGUAAAAGAUGGACUACAUUUUCUAAUGCAGAACACACGAAUAAACUAUGAAACUAGAAACUGAAGGCGGAUUUAGCAGUAUGAUAAGAAUAGAAUGCCUAACUGAAACCAAUGCAAUGAAGUGCGUACACACCGCCCGUCAUCCCUG
RNAcentral lists this ribosomal RNA (335 nucleotides) under Helicops hagmanni. RNAcentral's name for it is "partial small subunit ribosomal RNA". The record is from RNAcentral. Lineage: Eukaryota; Metazoa; Chordata; Lepidosauria; Squamata; Dipsadidae.